AAGAGAGAGAGUGUAAAAAUGGGAGAGAUGCUUGAUUUGACACGGUACAAAAAAUGAAGGAGAAUCCUCCUCCACUGGUGAUGACACACUGCCCAAGGUAGGCAACGACACACUGCCCAAGGCGGUAGUUUGCUUCACCUAGCCUACAAAGGCUGGGCUACCCUACUGCGCGCAGGGCCUAUAGUGCAUUGCAGCAUUGCGCACAGGCCCUAGGCACGCAGGCCUAUUCACUUAGGCCUGCCGUACGGACAUCGCACACAUAGUCUGCGGUGCUAGUCUUGUCU
This 284-nucleotide long non-coding RNA is filed under the name Carica papaya (papaya). RNAcentral describes it as "long non-coding RNA (CPAP_LNC005845)". Lineage: Eukaryota; Viridiplantae; Streptophyta; Magnoliopsida; Brassicales; Caricaceae. The record is from RNAcentral.